Molecule: small RNA, 2523 nt
Filed under: Pan troglodytes (chimpanzee)
Lineage: Eukaryota; Metazoa; Chordata; Mammalia; Primates; Hominidae
Description: processed transcript
Source: RNAcentral
ACCGCUUGGCGCGCGCGCGUCCCGGAGGGCGCCCAGGGGGCGCCGCUUCCCGUUCAGCUCCGCUCAGGGGCUGGUCCAGCCUGCGCGGCUCGGAGCGGAAAGAGUCGGGCGGAGCAGGCGGCGGAGCGGGCGGCUGCUUGACAGCUGAGAGCCGAGCGGGCGGCGCGGGCAGGUCCACGGGAAGCCUACACGCCCAAGGUCAUGCCCUGACCACAGCUGCCCUUCAGGAGGCUGGCACGGAGCCACCUGGGGCCAUUGGGCUGUUUGUCAAGGGUGGGGCAGCAGCAACUUGCCACUCUUCCUCCAUGAGCCCAGCCAGAGCCUCCACUGGCCACUUAGCACAAGAAAAACCCUGCAGGAGCCGGAUCCAGAGCGCUGGGAUUCAGCAGGAGUGCCAGGAGAAUUCAACACAGGUGUGCUGCCUCCUCUCCUGCCAGGCGUGUGGCUGCACAGGAGUCUUGCUGAUGGUAAGAAUCGGAGUUCCUGGAUUCAGUGGGUACUGGGAGCAGCCGCCUGUGAGAAGGCUGGGCCAAACAAACAAAUGUUCUGAAUGAGGAUAAGAAAACAGCAUUUCUCCUGAGGGUCUCUGAUUUUCUGUAGCCUGCCCCUGGCUUGAAAACUGUCAGCUUAGCAAAGUGGACUCUCAAACCACCUGGAUCUCAUGUUUUUUGCUUGUCAGAUUCAUUGAGAGCUGCAGAAUAGGCUCAACAUCCCACAGGGUCUGCUUCUCUGACUGGGACAAAAGCGCUCAUAAGAAACUGAUGGGAGCGGCUUCACCGGGGGUGGCAGACAAUUCUGGCCAGGAGUGGGUGUCCGCAGUGGGCAAGAAGUGUGGGCUCCAUGCCAGGAGCAGUGGCGACAGCUUCUAGAAAUUGUCUAAUAGCCUGACAUCCUAAAGAAUGUCCUGGAGAGCUGGAAAAGCGGUUCUUCCAGACACAUGCAGGGAGCAGUGAAAUGAGAUGCAGUAGAAGGUUGAAUCCAGCUGGGAGCACAGUGCAAUUUAGUUAAGAGUGACUUCUGUGGCAUCUGCUGGUCGUGGGUGAGGGCUGGGGGAAGAUAAUACUAAUUUGGCCAUUAUUACACAUGUCUUUCUUGAAUCUUCAAUCAGAUUGUCAACUCCUUGAGGGUAGUAAUGGAAUAUUUUAUGUCUUUUGCAUUCUUCACAAGGUCGGGUACUCAGCCAUUGUUUAUUGGUUGACUAUUUGAUGCAUUCCGACACAAUACACUUGACCGGGCCAGGUCCUGGGAUCUUCAUUCAUAGGAGCAGUGUUGUCACCAGUAUCUGUUGGGCACCUGCUGAGAAGGAGCAGUGGCGGGUACUUUUGCCACCCGAGUUGGCCUGAGGUUGCUGAGUGUAUGAGUUUCCUAGGGCUGCCUUAACAAAGUGCCACCAACUGGGUGAUUAACAGAAAUGUCAGGUCUCCCAGUUCUAGAGGCGAGAGGUCUGCAACCAAGGUAUCAGCAGGGCCUGACCCCUCUGUGGUGUAUAGGAGGCCCCUCCUUGCCUCGCCCUGGCUUCUGACGAUUUGCCGGCCGACUGUGGUCUUCCUUGGCUUGCAGCUGCGUCACUCCAAUCCCUGCCUUUAUCAUCACAUGGCAUUCUCCCUGUGUGUGUGUGUUUCCAAAUUUUCCCAUUUUUAUAAGGACACCAGCCAUAUUAGGAACCGCCCUACUCCAGUAUGACCUCAUGUUAACUCAUUACAUCUUCAGCAACCCCGUUUCCAAAGAAGGUCACAUUCUGAGGUACUAGGGGUUAGGACUUCAAUGUGGAGAUCACAGUUCAAGCUGCCACACUAAGUGAGCUCAUUCACAGUGACAAGACUAGGGACAUACAAAGGGCCGGGGUGAAUAUGAAUGGUGUUCCAUGGUGCUGCCUGAAAGUGACUGGCAGCAGUGUCAGCAGGGGAGCAUGUCCUCUGUUCUCAGCAUUCACUAGAGAGGUGUGCCGAGCUGGGGCCCAGCUGGACACAUUGGAUGCUGUGCUCCAGAGGAGGAACUGCACUCACCUAUCGCUCUCCUUUGUAUGGGACAAGUGGGACAGAGCCUUGAUGGGGGGAACACACCACUGGGGUUCCAGGCAGCCUUAACUAUCGAGGAAUGGCAGGAAAUUCUGUCUGCCCAGCACCUGGUGACCCUGGAGCUCCUCAGUUUCCCGGGAAGUUGAGUUUUGGAGCAGUCUCUUCCAGAGAGGCUGGGAGUGCAUCACUUUCCCCCUGGAGGUGGCGUAGGCUGCUGGGCCCAACUAGCUCAUUGCCAGGCAAUCCAGAGAGAGUUCCAGACACCAGAUACUGAACAACCUACUUGUCUCCACACCUAGUAAAGCUUGGAUCCAAUGCUGCCAACUUUUCUGCCUCUCCAGUUUUGGAGCCCUUAAUGUGAAGGUGCAACCCAGAAGCCUGCAGGCUGUUCGUAGCCUGUAGAUGUGUUUUCUUCCCAGUAGCUGGUGUACACAGUGUUUUUGUAUUAUUUUUCAAAUAAGCAAUACAUUUGUGUGGUUCAAAAAUUAAAGCGCUAUAGAAAGGU